ACUCCUACGGGAGGCAGCAGUGGGGAAUAUUGCACAAUGGGCGCAAGCCUGAUGCAGCCAUGCCGCGUGUAUGAAGAAGGCCUUCGGGUUGUAAAGUACUUUCAGCAGUGAGGAAGGUGGGUAUGUUAAUAGCAUACUCAUUUGACGUUAGCUGCAGAAGAAGCACCGGCUAACUCCGUGCCAGCAGCCGCGGUAAUACGGAGGGUGCGAGCGUUAAUCGGAAUUACUGGGCGUAAAGCGCAUGCAGGUGGUUUGUUAAGUCAGAUGUGAAAGCCCGGGGCUCAACCUCGGAAUUGCAUUUGAAACUGGCAAACUAGAGUACUGUAGAGGGGGGUAGAAUUUCAGGUGUAGCGGUGAAAUGCGUAGAGAUCUGAAGGAUACCGGUGGCGAAGCGGCCCCCUGGACAGAUACUGACACUCAGAUGCGAAAGCGUGGGGAGCAAACAGGAUUAGAUACCCUGGUAGCGUAG
This 469-nucleotide ribosomal RNA is filed under the name uncultured bacterium. RNAcentral describes it as "bacterial SSU rRNA". It matches the Rfam family "Bacterial small subunit ribosomal RNA", at positions 335 to 798 of the family's 1533-position model. The record is from RNAcentral.